This is a long non-coding RNA of Mirounga angustirostris (Northern elephant seal), 3895 nucleotides long. RefSeq lists it as uncharacterized. Lineage: Eukaryota; Metazoa; Chordata; Mammalia; Carnivora; Phocidae. The transcript has 5 exons. The record is from RefSeq and is a predicted model, not a curated record.
AGCCAGCCAGGGCAGGGCAGGGCAAGGCAGAGCAGCCAAAACAAACAGAACAAGGCAGGUGAGCGAGCAAGCCAGACAGGACCCAAGCCCGUGGCACUGCAGAGCCGGGGCAAGGCAACGCCUCGGGCUGCUGGGGACACCUGGACCACAUCCCACGCUGCCGCCUCUGCCAGAGAGGCCUCCCAGCUGACAGCCCCAGGAAGGUGCAGACUUGGGCUUGUGGCUUCCAGAGGAGCCUUCAAAUAGCCUGUAUAAGGACCCCUGCUCCCAGGGAAGAUGUUGUAGGGGGCCAGGCUACAAGGUCAAGAGCCGUGAAGGAGCCACUCCACGGCAUCACCAGAACUGAACUGCUCUGGCCUGAAUCCCAGCAGCCCUAGAGCUGUUUGCUGUCAUUUAAGCCUCACAAGUCAUGGAGGGAGAUGCCAUUAUUAUUAUCCUUCAUUCACAGAUAAGGAAAUUGAGGUGCAGAGUACUACAGUGACUUACUCAGUGGCCCAGGAUUCAAACCCAGGCCUGUCUGACUAUAGGGCAUGAAGCAUAAUGGCCUUUCAGGGACUGGAGCGACAAACAGACACCAGCCUGAAGCCUGACCUGAAAAGAGGAGGAGCACGAAGAGAAAGAAAACCUCGCCUAGAAGAUGGUGUCCAGAGAGGAAACAGGGGGGAUGUGACUUUGGAUACAGAAUGCACCCACUGCCCCCAGGGAGCAGAGACAAGGCUGUGCUGUUGGCCUUUCUGCCUGUCUCACCGGGAGUCCCGAUGGAGCCAGUGGCCACCGAGGAACAGCCCGAUGCCUGCAAGUUCUUCAAAAGACAGACAAACUUAUAGCUACCAUCUCUGAGCAGGGCACAAACGAGGAGACCCUGGCAGGUCUGCCUGAAAUUCGGCUGAGCAGCUACCAGGUAUAGCAAAAGCCAUUCGAGGCUGUCCUCAGCUUUGGAAACACUAGACUCCUGAACUGAGACUUUUUUGCUGCAUCCCUACACUGCUUUUCAGAAUAAAGAUGGUGAGCUUUGGAAAAUCAUCUGAUAAACGGUGAGUUGGCGUCAUCCCCUUCUUUGUCAGUAUGGCCGUGCUCAUCCAGAAGAUUUCAGCAUCUCACUGCAUUUUGCAAUUAGUGGGACAUGGGAGAACAGGAGUGCUGGUGACUAAAAGUGGAGUGAUCACAAAGACGUCAAGAUGGAAACCAAGGGGGAUGCUGCAAGCAUGAUUCCUCAGGCUCGGCCAGAUGCUCACGGACGUUAUGUUCAGAUGUGAAAGAGGAGCAUAAAAAUAAAGACCACAUGGAACACUGAAAAUACAUCUCAGGAGACUGUAUCAAAGGUGAAAGGCACUUAAGAAGUUUAUAAUUAGCUUCCUGGGAGACAGAACACCCCUCGGAACCUGUCUACCUGUUGUCUGACUACUGUUCUAGGUACAGUGAAUGUGUCAGGUAAAUGUUCCUUCCCUCCAGAGGCUGACAUCCUACUUUAGAGGACAUUUUCAGGACAAUAUUAAAUUCAAAAGGAGGGGACUACAAGUAUUUAAAAGAAUUUAAAAUUAUACCUAAAGAAAAAGAAAACCUAUAAAUAAUUGGGCUUCUUCUUUUUUUUAGGUAAAUUCUGUGCCCAACGUGGGGCUCAAACCCAUGACCCUGAGAUCAAGAGUCGCAUGCUCUACUGAGCCAGCCAGGCGCCCCCAAAUUGGGCUUCUUUUGCAUUAGCCUGUUGUUUAUGCCCCAAAUGUGGGAUUUUAUUUCCAAAAUUAUUCCUCAAAAAGAGGACGUUGCUUUACAUUCAUACUUAUCCUUUUAUCCAACCAGAGUGUUUACAAUGUGAGGGAAGGUCCAUCUCUGUCAUCUCCUCUGUGCCUAGCAAAAUCCCUGAAAGGUUGCAUACGAUCAACAAACUUUUGCUGAGUUGAACUGGGUUUGCUGACUCUGGUUUUCCCUCAGGCUAAAGCAGAGCACAGGUCUCUAACUUGCCCAGGAUCACUGGAGUGAAAACUCUGGGAGCACUGACCGGGCCCACCCUUGGUUCUGGUGAUGUCCUUUCUUGCUGUGAAAGGCCGGAGCAGGCAGCUUUCACCUGGACCUUGCCUUAGGCCGAGCACUUUCAAUUGUCUGCUUCACCUAAUGGGGAGGAAAUUCCCAACCGCAGCUGGAUCUCUUUUUCCUCAACUGUCUGGCAUGAACACCCAAGACAUUCCUUUUUCUACUCAAGGGUUGGUUUCUACUGGAUUAGUAGAGCUCUGUCAGUUCCUCCCUCCUUUCAGGGCUUUGCCCUCAGCCAUGCACAGCCGAGCUCCUCUCAACCAGCCCACUACAGCACUGUUUAAAUACCAGAUCAUUUUUAAAGAACCACAUCUCACUUUUAUUUACAAAUUAAAUAUUUAUUUAAAAUUGAAAUCCAGAAAAGGAUUCAAACCUACUUUCCACACUUAAACAAAUAUUCAAACAGUACUUAAGGAAAUGGCUAUAUCCCUUUUUCUUUUUUUUCUUUUGUUCCUUUAUUUUUUUUUAAAGACUGGAUGGCCACUCUGGCCUGGGAUGAGCAACAUGCACUAACUGUCCUCAACUGGGGGCCUCUCGGGAUCUGAGCGUUUGUGGCCCCUCCAGUCUUGUCCUCGCAAAUGGCUGUCAUUCUUCUACAGACCCUGGGUCCCUGUAUCCACUCUCAGAGAAACCGAAUCAGAACCUGGGGUCCCUACACUCAAGAGCACAAAGUGAACUCAAUGCUCAAACCCAUGCAAUAAUAAUAUUCCAGCAUCUUGUGAAAGCUUCUGGAGAGUGAGGAGGAAACCUUCCGAUAGACCUUAAGCACCAGGAACUGGGAAGUGAGAAGCUGGGAAAGCAAGGUGGGGUCUGUAAGAGACCCAGGCUGCUCACAGGUCAGCAUCUUCUGAGCAACCUCACAGGCCUCCCUCAUACACAUGGGUCGUCACCUUGACCUUCAAGAGAGUCCAGAAAAGUCGAACCCCACACAUCUUGCUUUGCCUUCCCCUCUGCCUUUCGUAGCACUUACGUCCAACCAUGCCAUUCAUUGUUAUAUACACGUUCCAAAUUCUAAAAGGUCUGCAGCCACGUUAGGAACAACUUGGAAAACAAAGAAGGGAAAAAAAAAACCCACCCAUAAUCCUAUCUCUCUUGCUAGUCUUUUUUCUCAUGUAAUUUAGAAACAUCAUUAUAAGCUACAUCCGAGUUGAUGCCUUACUUUUGAAAACAAAUAGUAUUUUGAUUUUAAUUCUGAUUUUCAAAGGAUUGCAUGGUCUAGGUAAAAAAUGUAGAAAAUACAGAAAAAUAUAUAAAAUGAAAGUUUCCCAAAUUCCCAUCACCCAGUGAAGUUACUAUUAACACUUCAUGGGGUUUCCUCCAGUUCCUCUUCCAUCCACUUAAUAUAUACUGAAUAUAAUUGACAAACACAUCGUUUUUUUUAAACAAAAUUUAUAUGACAGUGUAUGUAUACUGUUUUGUAUCCCACUUUUCCCACUUAAUAUAAAACAUAUCAUUAUAUAGUCAUGAAAAAUUAAUAACUCUGUAAAGGUCUAGUAAAUUGGUUUCCUGUAAUUAUUUAGUCAUUAUCUUAUUGACUUUUGAAAUCGUCGCCAAUUUUUUCAGUUAGAAUGUCAUGUUGAACAUCCUUCUGCUUUCAGUUUUUCCAUACUUUGAAUUAUUUCUCUUUACUCCUAAAGUUUGUUUAUUUUAGUAUUCUCUACAUCCAGUGUGGGGCUUGAACUCACAACCCCAAGAUCAAGAGUCGCAUGCCCUUCCAACUGAGCCAGCCAGGCGCCCCUUGAAUUACUUCUUUAGGAGAAAUUCCCGAAGUAAAAUUAAAGGGUAAAACCAGCAGGGACAAUUUUUAUGGUGUUUGACAUGCUGUCUGUUUCCAAAAGGGCCAUUGCUAUUUACGUUACUAUCC